RNAcentral lists this non-coding RNA (20 nucleotides) under Rattus norvegicus (Norway rat). Lineage: Eukaryota; Metazoa; Chordata; Mammalia; Rodentia; Muridae. The record is from RNAcentral.
UUGUACAUGGGAUCAGUAGG